CCGGCGUCACAAAGGAAGUUGUGCGGGGGAGUCGGGACUGAUUUUCCUUCUUAUAGAACUUAAAAGACAGCCCCAUUCCGAACCAGAAUCUGUUCAGACAGCGUGAGCGCCGGCCGGGGCACGGGCGACCUGCGGGGAUUUCGGCUGACCCGGGAGUUCACGAUGCCCGUACUCUGCCUCAGGGUCAUUACGAGGGCCAGUGGAACCUGAUCGACACUGGUCAAUUUGGGAAGAAUGGUGGCCUUAUACAAGAGGACAAUAUUUGACAGAAGUUGGCUCGCAGCGUCCCGGUAGCUCGCCGUGAUCGUAUAGUGGUCACAGAAUCAGCAGACCCUCCACCUGGAAAAGUUCUUGAGAACAUAACCUGUGGACUGAAUCA
Phyllostomus hastatus (greater spear-nosed bat) is the source of this 379-nucleotide long non-coding RNA. RefSeq lists it as uncharacterized. NCBI's taxonomy places the organism in Eukaryota, Metazoa, Chordata, Mammalia, Chiroptera, Phyllostomidae. The transcript has 3 exons. The record is from RefSeq and is a predicted model, not a curated record.